AUUCCAGCUCCAAUAGCGUAUAUUAAAGUUGUUGCGGUUAAAAAGCUCGUAGUUGGAUUUCUGCCGAGGAUGACCGGUCCGCCCUGUGGGUGUGCAUCUGGCUCAGCCUUGGCAUCUUCCUGAAGAACGUAGCUGCACUUGACUGUGUGGUGCGGUAUUUAGGACAUUUACUUUGAGGAAAUUAGAGUGUUUCAAGCAAGCGCACGCUUUGAAUACAUUAGCAUGGAAUAAUGGAAUAGGACUUUUUCCUCUUCUGUUGGUCUGAGGGGUUCGAGUAAUGAUUAAUAGGGAUAGUUGGGGGCAUUAGUACUUUGCUGUCAGAGGUGAAAUUCUCGGAUCUGCAAAAGACUAACUUAUGCGAAAGCAUUUGCCAAGGAUGUUUUCAUUA
RNAcentral lists this ribosomal RNA (388 nucleotides) under Biecheleria sp. Its description in RNAcentral is "partial small subunit ribosomal RNA". It matches the Rfam family "Eukaryotic small subunit ribosomal RNA", at positions 582 to 975 of the family's 1831-position model. Lineage: Eukaryota; Dinophyceae; Suessiales; Biecheleriaceae. The record is from RNAcentral.